CUCUGUUGACGACACGCUCGACACCGGAGGUCCAUGGAAGUGGCAACAGAGACAAUUGGAAGUGCACGUUUGUUUGAUCAAUCAAAAUUUCUAGUAUAUGUGGACAUCUAGUGGAUAAUGGAUGGCAUAUGAUGAUGUGACUUCAACAGAAGACGUGCAUUCUCAACGAGAUCAAAUGGGAAAUAAACAGUUGGUGUUAGUAACAGCUGUGCACACACGGCUUUUGCCACUAUUGCCUCUUGCAAUAUCGAGAUUUCGCAGAUAAAAUGAACGUUAGACUAUAGUUUGCCGUUUACUAGCUGUACAACAAAAAAUAAAUAUGGAAGUAUUCUUCAAUGAGAGCGGUAAUUUAUUUUCACAAUGGAAUGUGAAACUAAAUUAGAAGACGUAGGCGGGCACCGUUUAUCAGCGGGGCAACGACUCUCAUUUAGACGAAUACAAUUUGCGUCACUCAAGCAGUGCCAUUCAAGUCGUUACUUGCGUGCGGGAUUGAAUAGCAUACACAGUCUUUCAAUGGAUCACCAUCAAAGAUUUCGAGCUCAGUGCUUUAGUUGCUUUUACGGGCCAAGUCAUGAUAGACGCUACCAAGAUGUGCAGGCUGCUCACUGGGACUGCUCUCCAUACGAAAACGUCUACUUGUGUCGGCGUCACGCUCAAUAUCGCAUGUGGUACAAACACAGAACUUGCCCAAGAUGCGAAAAUUCCCACACGUUGCAUUGGGUCUAAGCUAUCGUAUCUUUGAUAUUUGAUAACUAUCUUGUAAACGUCGCUGCUGUGGCUGCUGUGGUGUUUUUCUGUAAAUGUUUGCUAGAUGGCUAGUAGGACGAUGCAAAUUGCCGCGCGUAUAAUCUGUCUUUGCAUUGUUAGAAAUGUACGCUUUACUUACUCUUGGACACAGCUGUCGCGUUCUAGAUCACGACGAGUAAUUGAAGAAUUAGUG
Corticium candelabrum is the source of this 940-nucleotide long non-coding RNA. RefSeq lists it as uncharacterized. The record is from RefSeq and is a predicted model, not a curated record. Lineage: Eukaryota; Metazoa; Porifera; Homoscleromorpha; Homosclerophorida; Plakinidae. The transcript is spliced from 4 exons.